Molecule: transfer RNA, 69 nt
Filed under: Ovis aries (sheep)
Lineage: Eukaryota; Metazoa; Chordata; Mammalia; Artiodactyla; Bovidae
Rfam family: tRNA
About the family: Transfer RNA (tRNA) molecules are approximately 80 nucleotides in length.
Source: Rfam by way of RNAcentral
CCUGGUGGCUCAGAGGGUAAAGCGUCUGCCUGCAAUGUGGGAGACCUGGGUUUGAAUCCCAGGUCAGGA